Long non-coding RNA from Chinchilla lanigera (long-tailed chinchilla), 515 nucleotides. Ensembl lists it as uncharacterized. The record is from Ensembl. NCBI's taxonomy places the organism in Eukaryota, Metazoa, Chordata, Mammalia, Rodentia, Chinchillidae.
GGAAGUGACAGAGCUCAGUGUCCUUAUUCUGGUCUUCAUGUGUGAGUUUAAGUCAGACCUCAGCUUAGACCCAAAUGUGGCCUCCUGGCUAUGCAUCUUACUGGCAGUGACCAUCCUUCUCAUUGCCUUUGUUACAUUUAAACCCCCCUUCAGUAAGAUUGAUACAUGUCUAAAGAAAUGCAUCUCUGGAAAUUCUCUGCAUCUUCACGGAGGCUGUAAACCUUGGCUCCCCUCCUCAUGAUCACUCACAAAUACACACCAAUUGUGCUACUAAGAACAUGGUUCUCAGAUGCCACCUUUUUCAGCAUCCUGGGAAAGAAGUCCUGAGAGGGCAGGAAACUGGGAUGAGGGAGGACAACUUGCUUCUUGUGACUUUGUAGGAGAGAGAACCUAGGAAGACUACGCAGUAACAUCAGCUCGAGAGUGACAACCUGGCUCAGACAGAGAGUAUUUCUUACACUCUCAUUAUUCAUAUUAAAAGGAAAUUGAUAAUAAAUAUUUUUACACUCUCCAAC